Molecule: ribosomal RNA, 487 nt
Filed under: uncultured bacterium
Lineage: Bacteria
Description: bacterial SSU rRNA
Rfam family: Bacterial small subunit ribosomal RNA
Source: RNAcentral
GAUGAACGCUAGCGACAGGCUUAACACAUGCAAGUCGAGGGGCAGCAUAGGGUAGCAAUACUCUGAUGGCGACCGGCAAACGGGUGAGUAACGCGUAUGCAACCUACCCUGUACAGGGGGAUAACCCGGAGAAAUUCGGACUAAUAUCCCGUAAUAAUAUCCGGAGGCAUCUUUGGAUAUUUAAAGUUCCGACGGUACGGGAUGGGCAUGCGUAACAUUAACUGGUUGGUAAGGUAACGGCUUACCAAGGCUAUGAUGUUUAGGGGUCCUGAGAGGGUGGUCCCCCACACUGGUACUGAGACACGGACCAGACUCCUACGGGAGGCAGCAGUGAGGAAUAUUGGUCAAUGGGCGCAAGCCUGAACCAGCCAUCCCGCGUGCAGGAAGACGGCCCUAUGGGUUGUAAACUGCUUUUCCAGGGAGAGAAACUUACGCACGUGUUGCGUGACUGACGGUACCCUGGGAAUAAGCAUCGGCUAACUCCGUG